This 74-nucleotide transfer RNA is filed under the name Candidatus Pelagibacteraceae bacterium. RNAcentral's name for it is "tRNA-Ile". It matches the Rfam family "tRNA". From Rfam's summary of the family: Transfer RNA (tRNA) molecules are approximately 80 nucleotides in length. Their secondary structure includes four short double-helical elements and three loops (D, anti-codon, and T loops). Lineage: Bacteria; Pseudomonadati; Pseudomonadota; Alphaproteobacteria; Candidatus Pelagibacterales; Candidatus Pelagibacteraceae. The record is from RNAcentral.
GUUCUUGUAGCUCAGUUGGUUAGAGCAUCGGUCUUAUGAGCCGAAGGUCCACGGUUCGAGCCCGUGCUGGAACA